RNAcentral lists this small RNA (905 nucleotides) under Cystoderma carpaticum. RNAcentral describes it as "eukaryotic LSU rRNA". It matches the Rfam family "Eukaryotic large subunit ribosomal RNA", at positions 75 to 961 of the family's 3401-position model. The record is from RNAcentral. Lineage: Eukaryota; Fungi; Basidiomycota; Agaricomycetes; Agaricales; Squamanitaceae.
UUCCCCUAGUAACUGCGAGUGAGCGGGAAAAGCUCAAAUUUAAAAUCUGGCAGUCUUUGAUUGUCCGAGUUGUAAUCUAGAGAAGUGUUAUCCGCGCUGGACCGUGUACAAGUCUCCUGGAAUGGAGCGUCAUAGAGGGUGAGAAUCCCGUCUUUGACACGGACUACCAGGGCUUUUGUGAUGCGCUCUCAAAGAGUCGAGUUGUUUGGGAAUGCAGCUCAAAAUGGGUGGUAAAUUCCAUCUAAAGCUAAAUAUUGGCGAGAGACCGAUAGCGAACAAGUACCGUGAGGGAAAGAUGAAAAGAACUUUGGAAAGAGAGUUAAACAGUACGUGAAAUUGCUGAAAGGGAAACGCUUGAAGUCAGUCGCGUUGGCCAGGGAUCAACCUUGCUCUUUUGCUGGGUGUACUUUCUGGUUGACGGGUCAGCAUCAAUUUUGACCGUUGGAAAAAGGUAGAGGGGAUGUGGCAUCUUCGGAUGUGUUAUAACCCUUUAUUGUAUACAAUGGUUGGGAUUGAGGAACUCAGCACGCCGUUAAGGUCGGGGUAUCAACCCACGUUUCGUGCUUAGGAUGCUGGCAUAAUGGCUUUAAUCGACCCGUCUUGAAACACGGACCAAGGAGUCUAACAUGCCUGCGAGUGUUUGGGUGGAAAACCCGGACGCGCAAUGAAAGUGAAAGUUGAGAUCCCUGUCAUGGGGAGCAUCGACGCCCGGACCAGAAAUUUAUGGACGGCUCCGCGGUAGAGCAUGUAUGUUGGGACCCGAAAGAUGGUGAACUAUGCCUGAAUAGGGUGAAGCCAGAGGAAACUCUGGUGGAGGCUCGUAGCGAUUCUGACGUGCAAAUCGAUCGUCAAAUUUGGGUAUAGGGGCGAAAGACUAAUCGAACCAUCUAGUAGCUGGUUCCUGC